CUUCUUCAAUCCACAAACCCUCGCCUCCAACCACUACAACAAUCCGACCAAAUUGACAUCAAAUUCACAAAAACUUAACAAUAUUUGACAACAAUUUUUCACUCUCCGUUCAAAUUGACAACAAUUUCAUCUCAACAAAAAUAAAUUGGUCAAAAAAAAUUUUUUAAGAAGGAACCCAUUUGGCCUUAAUUUCUGUCUAGUUGCUAUGGUAUGGUUUCGUGCAGAUAUACUCUGAUAUAUUUUAGUUGGAUCACAUUUAAGAAUAAACUCAAUUAAUGAAAAUUGAGUGAAGGUAAGUUUGAUGGUGAUAUUGUAUUCAAUUGUGGUGCAAAAAUUAUGGAGGUGAAUAACAAAAUUAAUGGAGGUUGUGUGAAAAAAUUGGUUACACUAUUUUUAAUUUUCUACAACAAUCAUGGAGAUGUUAUUUUUAAUUUUUAUAAUUACGUAUGUGAUUUUUUUCUUCUAUAUUUUUUAAUUCAAAAAUUUGGUGGUAAUUUGGUGGAUAAUGAUGAUGAUGUUGGAAGGUGAAGCAUGUACGGAGAAGAAGAAGGUUUAAAGCUGAUGUUGGAAGCUUUGCAAUGAUUGUUAAUGGUGGUGGAAGGUUGAGUUGGUGGAAGAAGAAAGAGGAAGAAGAAGAAGGUAAAAAAAAUACAAAAACCAUAAAAUAGAGCUCCUCACGCGCUUUUAGUGUAGUGCAACACACACAAUGUGUUGAAUCAGCAAAAGGUGUUAAAGUGACACACUUUAUAUCUACUUGAGGUGCCAAAAGUCAACAACAUUCACUUGAGGUGUCUAAGUGAAAGUUUGUGACAAGUUUAGGGGGUCACCGAUGGAUUUGGCCAAUUAGGACAGAAGACCAUUGGCACUUUUGCCCCCAGACUUUGGUUUGGUAAAAGUGUAACACAUGAUGUAUGAGAUAUAAUAUGUCAUGAGUUAGAGUUCUGUCGUUGACAGGCGCGGACUUAGGUACUCCCUCUAUUUCAAAAUAAAUGAAUUGUUGAGUUAUUUUUUAAUGUACAAAAUUCAGGGUAGUGCUAAACGACUCGGAACCGAAUUGCCUCGAAUGACUCGAGUCAUGUAAAAAGUCUGUUUUAUCCUUUGGCUUCAAAACCACCAUUUUUUCCCCCAAAAUGCAAAACCACCUACUUUAAGUGCCAAAAUCAUUUAUUUUUCCCUUCA
Molecule: long non-coding RNA, 1179 nt
Filed under: Capsicum annuum
Lineage: Eukaryota; Viridiplantae; Streptophyta; Magnoliopsida; Solanales; Solanaceae
Description: long non-coding RNA (CANN_LNC014769)
Source: RNAcentral